GAACCUGCGGAAGGAUCAUUAUAGAAUGCGUGCCCUUCGGGGCCGUCUUUCUACACCCUUUGUUUACCAACCUGGUGCCCGAAAGCGUCCGUCCCUUCGGGGGCGGCCUGACGGCGCCGCAACCUCUGGAGCAGAUUGUAACAAAUCGAAUCCAUACACAACUUUUAACAAUGGAUCUCUUGGUUCUGGCAUCGAUGAAGAACGCAGCGAAACGCGAUAGGUAUUGUGAAUUGCAGAAUUUAGUGAAUCAUCGAAUCUUUGAACGCACAUUGCGCCCCCUGGCACUCCGGGGGGCAUGCCUGUCCGAGCGUCAUUUCAACCCUCCAGCCCGGCUGGUGUUUGGGCCUUCGUCCUCCGGGGCGGGCCUCAAAGACAGGGACGACGCCGCGUCGAAACCCCCGAGCGUAUGAGACUCUGUCGCUGCUCGAUCGGGACGACCGGUUCGGUCCAACCAACCCAUCUUUUUUCAGGUGGACCUCGGAUCAGGUAGGGAUACCCGCUGAACUUAAGCAUA
Molecule: ribosomal RNA, 514 nt
Filed under: Corynelia uberata
Lineage: Eukaryota; Fungi; Ascomycota; Eurotiomycetes; Coryneliales; Coryneliaceae
Description: eukaryotic LSU rRNA
Rfam family: 5.8S ribosomal RNA (bases 160-313)
Source: RNAcentral